AUUGAACGCUGGCGGCAGGCCUAACACAUGCAAGUCGAGCGAGCGUCGGACGGGUGAGUAAUGUAUGGGGACUGCCCGACAGAGGGGGAUAACUACUGGAAACUGUAGCUAAUACCCCAUACUAUCGGAUAACCCAUAUGGGAUUAGCUAGUAGGUGGGGUAAUGGCUCACGUAGGCGACGAUCCCUAGCUGGGCUGAGAGGAUGAUAAGCCAGACUGGGACUGAGACACGGCCCGUACUCCUACGGAGGCAGCAGUGGGAAAUAUUGCACAAUGGGCGCAAGCCUGAUGCAGCCAUGCCGGGUGUAUGAAGAAGGCCCUAGGGUUGUAAAGUACUUUCAGUCGGGAGGCGUUACCGACAGAAGAAGCACCGGCUAACUCCGUGCCAGCAGCCGCGGUAAUAC
RNAcentral lists this ribosomal RNA (403 nucleotides) under uncultured bacterium. Its description in RNAcentral is "partial 16S ribosomal RNA". It matches the Rfam family "Bacterial small subunit ribosomal RNA", at positions 30 to 526 of the family's 1533-position model. The record is from RNAcentral.